UCUUCUCUCUUCACUCAAUCCACUGAAAUUCUAGACGAAGAGCCUUUCCUGUCGUUCUCCUCCGCCACCGCAGCCAACGAGAUAGAGUUUCGGCGGUUGCUAAAUGCUUAAAUAAGUGUUGGUAAAUUAGCAGCACUCUUUUAGGUUAUAGCGACACUCUUUAACUAUCACUAUAUACCUAGCGACCCCACAUAUAGCAACACUUUUUGAAAGUGUCGGUAAUUUUAGCUAGCAGCACUUUUUUGACAUGUACCUACAUUUAAAAGUGUCGCUAUAGACCAUUUUUGUUCUAGUGAUUACUUAGAUUGAUUUAUGAUUAUAUUGUUAUUAACUAUAUAUGUAGGAAAUAAUUAAGAGUAAUAAUUAGACCACCAAAAUAAGUAGAAUCUUUUUGAGAAAAACCAAAUAAGUAGAAUCACUAGAGAAAAACCAAUGGAGUGGACUUACCCGUGCACAUAUCACACACUACAACAAAAACGGUCUAUAGCGACACUUUUAAAUGUAGGUACAUGUCAAAAAAAUACUGCUAGUUAAAAUUACCGACAUUUUUAAAAAGUGUUGCUAUAUAUGGGGUCGCUAGGUAUAAAGUGACAGUUAAAGAGUAUCGCUAUAACCUAAAAGAGUGCUGCUAAUUUACAAACACUUAUUUAAACAUUUAGCAACCGUCGAAACUCUAUCUUGUUGGCUGCGGUGGCGGAGAAGGACGACAGGAAAGGCUCUUCGUCUAGAAUUUCAGUGGAUUGAGUGAAAAGAGAAGAAAAGAUGGUAAUUGAUUUUUUUCUUUCUUUUCUGUUUGUAAUCGGGCCAAAUAAACUGGGUGUGGUGGGUUGAGUAGAGUAAUCUUUUAUUUUUUGUUGGAUUGGGCUUUAUAUUUAGGCAUUAAUAAAUAUUUUUUUAAGUUUUAGGAUAAAUGAGAUACUUAUUCAAAAGUGUCCCAAAUAUUUGUCCCUAUAACCUAAUUCUAUUAUAGUGACAGUUUAUAGCGAUGUA
This 990-nucleotide long non-coding RNA is filed under the name Ananas comosus (pineapple). RNAcentral's name for it is "long non-coding RNA (ACOM_LNC020460)". The record is from RNAcentral. Lineage: Eukaryota; Viridiplantae; Streptophyta; Magnoliopsida; Poales; Bromeliaceae.